AUAAAAACGAUGACAGAGGAAAGUAGGUAUACCGGAAGGUUAUAGCGAGUCAGGGAUGGUGGAAGCCUGAUACUGCGAUGGUAUAUUGAAGUUCCCUCUCGAGUUGCCAGUUGAAAACCGCUAUAGGCGGUGAGUAGAUGGGGCCGGAGAUUUCACCGUUAAAAGAAAUGGAGUAUGUUAGUACUCUUAAUGAGCGAACCUGUCUAUACAGGUUAAUAAAGGUGGUACCGCGGGUAACCUCUCGUCCUUAUG
RNAcentral lists this non-coding RNA (252 nucleotides) under Caldanaerobius fijiensis. Its description in RNAcentral is "T-box sequence". It matches the Rfam family "T-box leader". From Rfam's summary of the family: Uncharged tRNA acts as the effector for transcription antitermination of genes in the T-box leader family. Lineage: Bacteria; Bacillati; Bacillota; Clostridia; Thermoanaerobacterales; Thermoanaerobacteraceae. The record is from RNAcentral.